Molecule: unclassified non-coding RNA, 414 nt
Filed under: Hevea brasiliensis (rubber tree)
Lineage: Eukaryota; Viridiplantae; Streptophyta; Magnoliopsida; Malpighiales; Euphorbiaceae
Source: RNAcentral
CUUCAAUGUUGUGGGUGGGAGAUGAACCAGUUAUAGAGGGCAAAAGCAUAAUCCUAGAGAUUGAAAGGUAGAUGCAAGUAAAAAAAAUGGAAGAGUUGAAAAGAAAACUAGUUGCAUUCUUGUUUUGGCUGAUUUGUUUAUUGUUAUUGGCUGCAGUUUUGUUUUUGCAGUAUUUUAGGUUUGCAUCUUUUGUUCUUUAUUUGUUGCCAACUCUUCUUGUUGGAGCUUCAAUCUAAAAGGCCUGUUUUUUGUUAUCUUGGUUGUGUAAGAUUGUUUUCCUUAUUGAUGUAUGUUGAAUUUCAGGUUUGAGGGAGCUAGUCUUUAUUUGUUAGGAGUGGCUGAGAUGAUUAUAAAAAGAGAAAAGUAGAGCAGAUAGCUAGGGGGAAGAGGAAGAGAGACAAAUGAGAGAAAGGG